This 1534-nucleotide long non-coding RNA is filed under the name Homo sapiens (human). RNAcentral describes it as "HSALNT0378353". The record is from RNAcentral. Lineage: Eukaryota; Metazoa; Chordata; Mammalia; Primates; Hominidae.
UGGAGAUGGUGAGAAAGAGUUGGAUCCUCCAUACGUUUUGAAAAUAUAUUAAUACUUAUGGAUGGAGUAGAUGUGAACAUGGAUUUAUAUAAAGAAAAGAGAGCAGUUAAGAAAAAUUCCAACUUUACCCUCAGUAACCAGAAAGAUGGAAAAGCAUUGGGUGGAGCAUUUGGAGCACAAAGAAGAGGUCACAGGAGCACACAGCAAGAAGGCAGCCAUCUGCAACCCUGUGGAGGAGACCUCCCCAGACAUUAACCAUGCUGGCACCUUGAUCUUGGACUUCUAGUCUCUGGGACUGUGAGAAAAUACAUUUCGGUUGUCUCAGCCACUCAGUCUGAAGAAUUUUGUUAUGUCAGCUCGAGCAGAUUGAUGCGGCUAUUGAGAUACAGCGGUUUCUAUUCUGUUUAUGUUUCCUUGUUUUGUUUCUGUUGUUGUUGUUGUUGUUUUGUCCUGGGCAUGUAGACCAAAGCCAAUAGGCAAGGUCACUUCAUUACUAGGAACCAAGUCUAAUCAUUGCACUAGAAAAUACUUAACUUUAUGCAUCCAGCUUUUUAGAAAAUUGUAUUUCAACUCAUUACAGGAUUUUCAUAGUGUAUCACAAGAUUUAUGUUGAGAGGAAAAGAGCCCUAAAGUUUCAAGAUAAUUGAAUUCUGGAAAAUGAGAAAAGUAGUCAAUUUUUAUAAAUUAGUAGGUAGCAUCUAUUUUUUCUUUUUUUGGUACUAAAAUUAUUGCAUUUUUAUUUUUACCUUAUUUUGUACCAAGAUGGGUCUAAAUGUCAUGGUGACUCAUUUCAAAACUUGCAUUUUCAUUUGUGAUUAAUCCCACCUACACUGAAAAGUUUUUGCUUGAUUUUUCUACUGAGGUGUGGGUUCCAAGCCUCGGUAUCCUAUGGAUGUACAAUUGUCCAAUGUAAGUUGUCAACUGUUAUAUUUGGGAGUGAAAGUAGAAACUACAGGGAUCAAAAAUGAGUUGGCAAGUUUUCUUUUCCUGAAGGAUGAAUCACUGGAGAAGUGCCAGUGAAUAGAAAAAAAAAAUUUCACCAAAAGAAAUAAUAACCAACAAGCCAUGUUCUACUGUCUUAAAACAAAGAAAAGCCAUUUAUCUCAGGGCACAUAUUGAUGCUGAAAAUGAUUCAACUUCACCACAUCAUAAGCGGAACCGUCAGAAGCAUAUUCCUGGAAACCAAAGCCUCUUGGGAGAAAGUUCAAGAAGCUGAAAAGAGCCAUGCAGUUCAAUUAUCCUGAUUCUUCAGUUUCCAUCUGUAUGAAACAGGCCACGCAGCAGAGACAUAGACACAUCAGAAUUCCCAUCUGCACUGCAAUAAACACUACUUAGGAGAAUCAGUCUCAGCUGGACCAAACCUCUCAGUCCCACUCGAUGUCAUCUGUGCCAAGCCAAGGUACAUAGAGAAAAAGAAAACCUCACUGAUAUGGUAGAUGGUGGGUGUGAAAUUUCUAACACUGUUACCUGUAAUCACUAAGAUAAGAUGCAUGAGUUGUCACAGUUAACUCUCCCACUGAACUAUGCCUAAAGC